This 1293-nucleotide ribosomal RNA is filed under the name Leptotyphlops merkeri (Merkers thread Snake). RNAcentral describes it as "partial 16S ribosomal RNA". It matches the Rfam family "Bacterial large subunit ribosomal RNA", at positions 176 to 2594 of the family's 2925-position model. The record is from RNAcentral. Lineage: Eukaryota; Metazoa; Chordata; Lepidosauria; Squamata; Leptotyphlopidae.
GCCGCAAGCCUAGUUAUUAGAAACCAACCCUUAAAUCGAGCCAAACAAAGCAUUUGAGAUGGUCAGUAGUGGGGAAGGAACACUAGCACAAACACUAUAGAGGAAGUACCGCAAGGGAAAGGGAAGAAAGCAAUAAAAAGCAAAGAUAAAGCCUUGUACCUUUCGCAUCAUGGUUUAGCGAGACGCGCCGGGCAAGGAGACCCCAAGCCCAAGAACCCGAAACCAAGUGAGCUACCCCCCAACAGGAAACACACCCGUCUCUGUAGCAAAAGAGUGGGAAGAUUGGUGGGUAGCGGUGAAAAGCCUAUCGAACUUGGCGAUAGCUGGUUACCCAAAAUUGAACCUUAGUUCUACCCUGAGCACACACCCCCCCCACGGAGCACAGGGACACUCAUUAGAGGAACAGCCCUAAUGAAAGGGGACACAACCCCCGCCUGAGAGUAAGCCGAAAGCCUUCACAGUAGGCCUUAAAGCAGCCACCCAUAAAAACAGCGUCAAAGCGCCAGACUAUUAAUUCACAACACAUUUAUCACCUCCAGCAAGAAUCAGGGUAACUCUACUCACGUAGAAAAACUAAUGCUAAAACUACUAAUUAGGGGGAGACCCCCUCUUAAGCACACCUGUCCAUUGGAGCGGACCAACCACCAACAGUUAUCACCACAAAGAAAACCCAAGCCACAAACCUUACACAUACUGUGACACCAACACAGGAGUGCCCCAAAGAAAGGUGAAAAGCCCUAGAAGGAACUCGGCAACCCCUGACCCCAACUGUUUACCAAAAACAUAACCUUUAGCCCCCCCAAUAUUAAAGGCAUCGCCUGCCCAGUGAGACAGCCUCUUAAACGGCCGCGGUACCCUAACCGUGCGAAGGUAGCAUAAUCACUUGUCUAUUAAUCAUAGACUGGUAUGAAAGGCUGCAUGAGGGUCAAGCUGUCUCCUAUGGCCCACCAAUGAAACUGAUCUUGCAGUCCAAAAGCUGUAAUAACCACAUAAGACGAGAAGACCCUGUGAAACUUUCAACAACCUUUUUCCCUGAGAAAAAGUACUUUCAGUUGGGGCAACUUUGGAAAAAAGCCAAACUUCCAAACACCUAGAACACCCACUACAACAAGGCUGACACGCCCACAUUACGACCCAGUACACCUGAGAAAUGAACAAAGCUACUCCAGGGAUAACAGCGCCAUCUUCUUCAAGAGCCCAUAUCAAAAAGAAGGUUUACGACCUCGAUGUUGGAUCAGGGCACCCCAGUGGCGCAGCCACUACUAAAGGUUCGUUUGUUCAACGAUUAACAGC